GGAAAUGUGACUUAGCAGUAGAGUGCUUGCCUAGCAUACAUGAAGCCCUGGGUUCAAUUCCUCAUUACCA
RNAcentral lists this transfer RNA (70 nucleotides) under Dipodomys ordii (Ord's kangaroo rat). It matches the Rfam family "tRNA". Rfam says of the family: Transfer RNA (tRNA) molecules are approximately 80 nucleotides in length. Their secondary structure includes four short double-helical elements and three loops (D, anti-codon, and T loops). Lineage: Eukaryota; Metazoa; Chordata; Mammalia; Rodentia; Heteromyidae. The record is from Rfam by way of RNAcentral.